UACGAGGGGUGCUAGCGUUGUUCGGAAUCAUUGGGCGUAAAGCGUGCGUAGGCGGCAUGGUAAGUCAGCUGUGAAAGCCCAGGGCUCAACCUUGGAAUUGCAGUUGAAACUAUCAAGCUAGAGUAUGGCGGGGGAUAGUGGAAUUCCUAGUGUAGGGGUGAAAUCCGUAGAUAUUAGGAGGAACAUCAGUGGCGAAGGCGACUAUCUACACCAUUACUGACGCUGAGGUACGAAAGCGUGGGGAGCAAACGGG
RNAcentral lists this ribosomal RNA (253 nucleotides) under uncultured bacterium. Its description in RNAcentral is "partial 16S ribosomal RNA". It matches the Rfam family "Bacterial small subunit ribosomal RNA", at positions 524 to 776 of the family's 1533-position model. The record is from RNAcentral.